CAGGCUUCUCAGGACACAACUGAAGGGGAGAGGCUGCUUCCUACCAAAAGAUGAGGAAACUGAGAAAGAUUUGUGAGGCAAAAGUUUGGGUGAAGAAGACAGAAAACACUUGGUGGCAGAGGUGAUAUCUGAGGAUGGAAGAGAUUCUGCAUGUUCCUAAUACCAGCAUAGGAACUAAGAAAACAGGAAAUAUUUGCUGAAUGAAUAAAAACUGAGAGAAAAGGGCCAGUAAAGAGGAGAGAAUGAAGAUGUAGGAAAGAGAGGAGACAUAGUACAGAGCAUGGCUACUAGGAUGAACAAAAGCUGGAAGACACAGGACAGGUGGAGAAUUAGUCCAAACCAGCACUGUGCAAUUGAAAUAUAACACAACCCAUGGGUGUAAUUUAAA
Gorilla gorilla gorilla (western lowland gorilla) is the source of this 388-nucleotide long non-coding RNA. RefSeq lists it as uncharacterized. NCBI's taxonomy places the organism in Eukaryota, Metazoa, Chordata, Mammalia, Primates, Hominidae. The transcript is spliced from 3 exons. The record is from RefSeq and is a predicted model, not a curated record.